Molecule: long non-coding RNA, 471 nt
Organism: Schistocerca americana (American grasshopper)
Lineage: Eukaryota; Metazoa; Arthropoda; Insecta; Orthoptera; Acrididae
Exons: 3
Source: RefSeq, a predicted model, not a curated record
ACCUGCGUGUAGAGGUCUUGGUAAAAACAACGUCAUCAAUUUUGUAUGUAUCAUUGAUAUAAGGUGUCAUUAUGACGACUCCAACACUGGUUUUCUUGAAAGAUGCCGGGUAAUCUUCUCAUUGGUCAUCUUUUCAUUGGUUACAUAUUUCUAGAGAAAUCAGAAGAGUAAAGUAAAAUUGUGGAAUACUGAAAAAUUCAAAGAACUGACAAUAAGAAGGGAAUAUGCUAUAAGGACAUCCAACGUUACCAAUAAGAGUAAUAACACUAGUCAACAGCCAUUUUGCAUCUGGGAUGUGAUACAUCAACUAGUAUGUAUAUUGAGAAGAGCUAAAAGAUCUACAAAUUGUCAGUAAAUGGUUGGUGUGGUAAUCCAGUGGUGUGAAAGAGAUGCCCAGUGAGUGUUUCCUGUGAAAGAUAGUGCAAACUCAACUAAGAAAAAUGGCAACUAGUAAAUCUCGUUGCUGUCUAA